GAAAUGCGAUAAGUAGUGUGAAUUGCAGAAUUCAGUGAAUCAUCGAAUCUUUGAACGCACAUUGCGCCCUUUGGUACUCCUUAGGGCAUGCCUGUUCGAGCGUUAUCUAAACCUUCAAGCACUGCUUGGUGUUAGGUGCCUAUCCUGCCCCUGCGCGUGGACUCACCUCAAAUCCAUUGGCGGCUCUUACGUCGGCUUCGAGCGCAGUAGAAAUGCGAACUCGACGCCUGUCGGAGCGGCUCCUAGAAGCUAUAUUUACUAUUUUGACCUCGGAUCAGGUAGGGAUACCUGCUGAACUUAA
Molecule: unclassified non-coding RNA, 301 nt
Filed under: uncultured Dothideomycetes
Lineage: Eukaryota; Fungi; Ascomycota; Dothideomycetes
Description: sequence contains ITS1
Rfam family: 5.8S ribosomal RNA (bases 1-105)
Source: RNAcentral